RNAcentral lists this long non-coding RNA (819 nucleotides) under Nicotiana benthamiana. Its description in RNAcentral is "long non-coding RNA (NBEN_LNC025052)". Lineage: Eukaryota; Viridiplantae; Streptophyta; Magnoliopsida; Solanales; Solanaceae. The record is from RNAcentral.
UUCCUUCCAAUUCCUUCUGCUUGUUUUCCAGCAAAUUGUUCUCAUUCUCUAAGCAAGUUACCUGUAUUAAUUUGUGAUCUGUAACUUCCAUUCUAGAUGAUACAAAUUAAUAAACAUCUAGGUGAGCAGAGGCAAACCCAGGAUAUGAACUUCAUGGGUUCGAGUUUGAAACUGUACCACAGCCUAUUUGAUUUACUUAGCUAACUUCCAUUCUGAAUGAUACAAAUUGAUAAACAUCUAGGUGAGCAGAGGUAAACCCAGGAUAUGAACUUCAUGGGUUCGAGUUCGAACUGUACCACAGCCUAUUUGAUUUACUUCGUCCGAAAUCUAUUAUUUGUACUUAUUUAGUGGAUCUUUCAACAAAAAUACAGACUCUGAGUCAAAGGUGAUAGGUUGAGCCCUUUACUUCAACACUACAUCUGCCCAUGUAGGUGAGAGGCGGAUCUUAAAUUUAGAACAGUUAAAUGCUCCUCUCAAUAUAUAUACACAGUUACACACAUAAAUAGCUCUAAAUUAAUAUAUACCAUACACAGACCGAUUUUUAAAAUGCUUUUUUUAUGAAAGUGAGGUGUAUGCAUGUUCGCGUGCACCUUGACUAUUCCACUAGAUACCUACUACCUCCCACUGGCAUAGGUACUAGAUAACUCUAUCCACCAAGGAAAUCAUAUAGUGUUCAACUGGAAUUUCAAUGUGAAACCUCAUGAUCUUCCUUCCAUUUCAAAGACCACUAGACCACACAUACAUAAUUUGAGUUUUGAGAUAACAAGUGCACGUGAACCCUAUGCUUAUAUGCUGGAUCAGCCUCUGCAUUCGUGUAGU